GGCCUGCCUGAGGAAGGAGAGGGCCCCCAGAGUGCCACCAGCCAUGGACUGGGACAAUCCGGCAAUCUUCCCUGAUGACGACAGUGGUCGGCUGCUGUGGUGGUGAAAUCCUUUCACAGCAUUAAUGUUCAGAUCGUCUGCAAUGCUGACUGUGUGAUCAGCAAUGUUGUGGCAAAAUGGCCUGGCUCAGUCCAUGACUCCAGAAUCUUUCGGGCCUCUGAAAUCUAUCGGCGCCUAUCACAAGAUGAGCCACACAACCCCUAUUAACCACGUUUUACAUCAUGGCUGUGUCAAUAAUAUCACUGUGUUUAUGAGGUAGUAAUGAUGAGAU
Molecule: long non-coding RNA, 331 nt
Organism: Monopterus albus (swamp eel)
Lineage: Eukaryota; Metazoa; Chordata; Actinopteri; Synbranchiformes; Synbranchidae
Exons: 2
Source: RefSeq, a predicted model, not a curated record